This is a non-coding RNA of Pelobates cultripes (western spadefoot toad), 238 nucleotides long. NCBI's taxonomy places the organism in Eukaryota, Metazoa, Chordata, Amphibia, Anura, Pelobatidae. The record is from the annotation of a GenBank genome assembly.
ACAUCAAGGUUAUGAAAGGGGAUUUAGGAUAGGAAUUAUGGGAGCUAGAAAGACUUGGGCUUAUUGGUGAUAGGGUCAGUAAUUAUGGCAUGUGAGAGAAGGCUGGUAUGCCGUCACUUGGGCAUUAAGGGCUCCUUUGUUUGGGUGGGCUCUGGUGGGGAGCGGCCAUUUAGACUGCACAGACUUAGACCUAGCCACAACAUGGAGAGACAAGAUGGUGCCGAACCAGAGACUGUGU